This is a non-coding RNA of Equus caballus (horse), 3152 nucleotides long. The record is from RefSeq and is a predicted model, not a curated record. Lineage: Eukaryota; Metazoa; Chordata; Mammalia; Perissodactyla; Equidae.
AUAUAGCCGCCCCUGUGACGCCAGCGCGUUGCACUCACGUCCCGGCCCCACCCACGGCGUCGUGCCCUGAGCGCCCAAGCGCCGCCUCUUCCAAUUGGUUCGGGGGCGGAGAUGCGGCGCGGCGCUUGCGCAGGAGCUCAGUGCUGCAGGAGGGCGUCCUCCUGGCUCUCGGAGAGCUGGAAGGGGGAGGGAAAGCUUAGUCAGUCUAGGCGCCUGCGCAGUGCGGAAGGAAGGUGUCUGGGCUGCGCAGAAAAUUGGCGGAGGUUUCGGGCGCGCCUGCGCACUAUGUUCUCUGGCACGUUCCAUCCUCUUGACUCUGUUGCGGCGUUACCUGCUCCAGGAAGGAUUGUUCCUGGGGGUUAUUGGCACUCCUUAGAGGGGAUUUAGCUGCCGAGCGUCCCGCACAUGACAGAUGCCCCCUAUCUCAUACCCACCCACCUACCCACCGGGUCACACACUUACUCCCACUUUCUUUGCAGAUUUACGGCGGCACCUUUAUUUAAUCAACCUAGAAUAAUAUAACCCAAACCCUAACUUUGGCAUUUAGAUUAAUUUAUCAUUUAGAUGAAUCUAAUCUAAAAAUGGAUUAGUCUGUAAAUUUACCAUUUAGAUAAUCUAAGGAAAGGACACCUAGCUCAUUAGCACGAGGCCAAGAGAGAGUAAUGCUGGUUCUGGGGGACCGAGAAGAAUUCAGGCGCCUGAAGGAUGUCCUUUGUGUCUUACAAAUCGUGUGUGGUGGAGCCUUCUCGGAGCGUAGAUGAAUAUUUCCUUCAAAUCAGUCAACCCUUCUUGUUCUUUGCAUUUAUUAAUGGAAACGCUCUCCGCUGCAGGGGUGAAAAGAGUGGUUUUAGACGCCACAGGCCUCCAGGGGCCAGGCAGGAAGCGGGGACAUGGGCGUCGAUGACAUGGGCGUCCCAGUCUCACAUCUCCCCAGUCUGCGAAGCUGAGUGCCCUCCUGCCCUCCACCUGGGAGCCUCGGCACUCACAGACCUGGCUCUGCCUGAAAGGGGUUUGGGGCGACAGUGGCUGCAUAGGUGGCAUGCACUCUAUUUCUACUGGAUGGCGCUGCUCUAGACGAUUGUGGACUGAAGAAUAUCGCCGACCUCAUCCUUUGCCCCAAACAGCUUAGUGAUCGUCCCCUCUUACCUGCAGCCGGGACUCUUCUUGAGCGGAAUUCGGGGCAGGAAGAUUUUUUCAUUUUGUUGAGCACCCAUGGCUUGCUGGGUCCUGUGCGAGGUAUAUCCCACCCCGGUCCCACGGAAUCCUGACGAAGCAGGGUCCUCAGCCCAUCUGCAGGUGAGGCGGCCGGCUUGGACCAGGACUUGGGCUGGGGUGGCGGUGGAUCUCUUCCUGCCGGGCAGCAUGGCCACCCGGGAGCGACCAGAUUCCCCCGAGGCACCUCUGGGGUGAUUCUGCCCUUGUAAGGGGUCAGCCAUUUCCUUGAUGGGGCCAGCACCAUGUGUGUGUUCCUUUCUUCCUUCCCAAAUGCUCCCGGAGAACUUCCUGCGUAGCCGCCCAGGCCCAGGGGAACCAUCUCAGUCCCUACAGGAGCCUAUAGGGGAGCCCUACAGGUGUGAGUGGGGUUUUGAGUCAAGGGACCAUUUGAGAUGCUCUCCUGCUAGUUGUCUGCUCUGUGUCCUCAGGAAGCUUGGAUAAUCUCUCCGAGCCUGUUUCCUUUCCUGUAUAUAUCAGGAGAAAACCCACUGGAUUUACUAUCCAUAACCCCCCAGCCUCCCUUCUAAGGAGAGCUGCUUCAGGUGCCCCUAGGGGCCUCAGCUGGCUUGGGGAAGAGCCUGGGUAGAACUAAGAUGCUGGAGGAGGCUGGAGACCCUGGGGGAGACCUGAGCUGAGAAGGAGGCACAGCCAGUGAGGCUGGGGGCGAUGAAACUCACCGCAGUUGAUGGGGACAGAAGCAGCCAGAGGAGCUGGGAGGAACGACACAUCUCCGGGGUCUUAGGGAGGGAAACCUUGUGCGCUGUGUUCUAUCUGCCCGUCCUCACUGCUCCUGCGAAUCUUUAGUAAAUUAUUGAUAGCUCACUGGUGCUUUUGGGGAGAGGGUUUUCUUUCAAGGACACAGUGAGGUUUGGAGUUCUGUAUCAAGACUGGCCAGGGCUGCUCAUGGGGGCCCUGUGACACCUUGGCUAGUUUAUAGGGAGUCCAUGGCUGGUCGCAGACCUCUUAUUUAUUAUCUGCUUCCAAGUGCCGGGCUCGGCGUUAAGCAAUUUCCAUUUGCCUCUUUGAAUCCUCCCAAUACCCCACCAAGUGGGAAUAGCUAUUCUCUUUUACAGACAAGGAUACAGAAGCUUAGAGUGGUGGAAUUAUUUUUGCAAGAUCAUAGCUAGUAAGUUGCAGGGCUGGAUUCAAGCCCAGAGCCUGUGCUCGUAACCAUGAAGAGGCACCCGCCCUGGAGGGCUGUCGGUGCCUGGCCCGUGUGCCCCACAGCACCCCGGAGUCACUGCUGGCUUCUCUCCCCACAGCUAGUAGGGGCACUCAGGGCAGGGUGGCCUGGCGUGGCCCUUGAGUGAACCCACUUCCUUCAGAUCUUUUGGUAUCUCUAUGUUUUAUUUAUUUUAUAUUAUUUUAUUUUUAUUUUAUUUUAAAAUAACGAUAUUUCUCUCCAUUGUAAAAUAAUAUCUUCUUAUUGCAUAAAAAUUUAAAAAGUAUGAAAAUGACCAAAAAAAAUCACUGGUUAAAUCAGUUACCACCUAGGGAUGACCAAAACCUGUUUUGGCGUGCUUCCCUCUGUUUAUGUGGAUAUUUAUGAAGCUGUCGACUGCUUUGUGCCAUGUUAGCCUGUACGCAGCCUUCAGCACUGCUUCGAGUUCUCCCCAAAGAGUCCGUUCUUACUAAAUACGCGUGAGUGAUGUAAGCUUUACCCAGUGACCCCAGAAGGAGGUGGGGGAGGGCAUUUACAACUCUCUCCCCCAACACAGCUCAAAAGUCUUAGCAGGCUCAGACCCCUCCUGACCUCUCAGAUGGCAUCUCUUUCUCCUCUGGGAUCUGCGUUUCCCGGCUCCUUCAUCUCCUCUUUUGAUCCUAUCCUAGUUUCAGACCUUAAACUCUUCUCCCCUCAGUUUUGCAGUUCAGCUCUGCCCCAUGCCUCCCCAAAAGUGUACAGCCAAGAUCUAAUAUCAAACCUGAAGUGAACGAUC